UACGAAGGGGGCGAGCGUUGUUCGGAGUUACUGGGCGUAAAGGGCGCGUAGGCGGCGCUCCAAGUUAGGCGUGAAAGCCCCGGGCUCAACCUGGGAAUAGCGCUUAAGACUGGAGUGCUUGAGUGCGGGAGAGGUGAGUGGAAUUCCCAGUGUAGAGGUGAAAUUCGUAGAUAUUGGGAAGAACACCAGUGGCGAAGGCGGCUCACUGGCCCGCAACUGACGCUGAGGCGCGAAAGCGUGGGGAGCAAACAGGAUUAGAUACCCUGGUAGUCCACGCCGUAAACGAUGAGUGCUAGACGUUGGGGGACUCGGUCCCUUGGUGUCGCAGCUAACGCAUGAAGCACUCCGCCUGGGGAGUACGGCCGCAAGGUUA
This 373-nucleotide ribosomal RNA is filed under the name uncultured prokaryote. RNAcentral describes it as "bacterial SSU rRNA". It matches the Rfam family "Bacterial small subunit ribosomal RNA", at positions 524 to 896 of the family's 1533-position model. The record is from RNAcentral.